AGGACAUGGGCCUUAUUAUCUGUAACCCCAGUGUCAAAGUAUUUCUGUGUGUGUCUUGGGCAGAGGCAGGGAAACCUCCAGAGAAAACAUGGGCAAAGGUUUCUGUUUUGUCAUGUGAAAAAAAUCUGAUGAAUACCACAGAGUACUGCCUGACAGACCUGCAUGAGUCAGGCCAAGAUAUUUCACUACUGGAGUUACUGUGUCUGGGGGAAAAGGAG
This 218-nucleotide long non-coding RNA is filed under the name Cyanistes caeruleus (blue tit). RNAcentral describes it as "lncRNA (ENSCCEG00000024424.1)". The record is from RNAcentral. Lineage: Eukaryota; Metazoa; Chordata; Aves; Passeriformes; Paridae.